GCGCAAUUUGGGCGACCACCAGUACGC
Molecule: small RNA, 27 nt
Filed under: Bombyx mori (domestic silkworm)
Lineage: Eukaryota; Metazoa; Arthropoda; Insecta; Lepidoptera; Bombycidae
Description: ovarian small RNA-16863
Source: RNAcentral